GGGUGAUCUGCCUCGCACUUCGGGAUAAGCCUGGGAAACUGGGUCUAAUACCGGAUAUGACCUUUCAGUGCAUGCUGUUGGGUGGAAAGAUUUAUCGGUGCGAGAUGGGCCCGCGGCCUAUCAGCUUGUUGGCGGGGUAACGGCCCACCAAGGCGACGACGGGUAGCCGACCUGAGAGGGUGACCGGCCACACUGGGACUGAGACACGGCCCAGACUCCUACGGGAGGCAGCAGUGGGGAAUAUUGCACAAUGGGCGGAAGCCUGAUGCAGCGACGCCGCGUGAGGGAUGACGGCCUUCGGGUUGUAAACCUCUUUCGACAGGGACGAAGCGCAAGUGACGGUACCUGUAGAAGAAGCACCGGCCAACUACGUGCCAGCAGCCGCGGUAAUACGUAGGGUGCGAGCGUUGUCCGGAAUUACUGGGCGUAAAGAGCUUGUAGGCGGUUUGUCGCGUCGUCCGUGAAAACUUGGGGCUCAACCCCAAG
This 486-nucleotide ribosomal RNA is filed under the name uncultured Nocardia sp. Its description in RNAcentral is "bacterial SSU rRNA". It matches the Rfam family "Bacterial small subunit ribosomal RNA", at positions 119 to 619 of the family's 1533-position model. Lineage: Bacteria; Bacillati; Actinomycetota; Actinomycetes; Mycobacteriales; Nocardiaceae. The record is from RNAcentral.